UACAGAGGUCUCAAGCGUUGUUCGGAUUCAUUGGGCGUAAAGGGUGCGUAGGCGGCGCGGUAAGUCGGGUGUGAAAUCUCGGGGCUUAACUCCGAAACUGCAUUCGAUACUGCUGUGCUUGAGGACUGGAGAGGAGACUGGAAUUUACGGUGUAGCGGUGAAAUGCGUAGAUAUCGUGAGGAAGACCCAUGGCGAAAGCAUGUCUCUGGAAACUACCUGACGCUGAUGCUCGAAGGCCGGGGGAGCAAACGGG
RNAcentral lists this ribosomal RNA (253 nucleotides) under uncultured bacterium. Its description in RNAcentral is "partial 16S ribosomal RNA". It matches the Rfam family "Bacterial small subunit ribosomal RNA", at positions 524 to 776 of the family's 1533-position model. The record is from RNAcentral.